This 100-nucleotide signal recognition particle RNA is filed under the name Nitrospirota bacterium. RNAcentral describes it as "signal recognition particle sRNA small type". It matches the Rfam family "Bacterial small signal recognition particle RNA". From Rfam's summary of the family: The signal recognition particle (SRP) is a universally conserved ribonucleoprotein involved in the co-translational targeting of proteins to membranes. Archaeal SRP consists of a 7S RNA and homologues of the eukaryotic SRP19 and SRP54 proteins. Lineage: Bacteria; Pseudomonadati; Nitrospirota. The record is from RNAcentral.
GGUUGGGUCCCGUGCAAUCGGAGCCUGUGAACCCCGUCAGGUCCGGAAGGAAGCAGCGGUAAGCGGGAUUCCCGGUGUGCCGCGGGUUCGCCCGGCCCCU